Microcebus murinus (gray mouse lemur) is the source of this 97-nucleotide unclassified non-coding RNA. It matches the Rfam family "Y RNA". Rfam says of the family: Y RNAs are components of the Ro ribonucleoprotein particle (Ro RNP), in association with Ro60 and La proteins. The Y RNAs and Ro60 and La proteins are well conserved, but the function of the Ro RNP is not known. In humans the RNA component can be one of four small RNAs -- hY1, hY3, hY4 and hY5. NCBI's taxonomy places the organism in Eukaryota, Metazoa, Chordata, Mammalia, Primates, Cheirogaleidae. The record is from Ensembl.
GGCUAGUCUGAUGGUAGUGCAUUGUUAGAACUUAUUAACAUUAGUGUCACUAAAGUUGGUAUACCAACCUCCCACUGCUAAAUUUGACUGGCAAUAA